This 253-nucleotide ribosomal RNA is filed under the name uncultured bacterium. RNAcentral describes it as "partial 16S ribosomal RNA". It matches the Rfam family "Bacterial small subunit ribosomal RNA", at positions 524 to 776 of the family's 1533-position model. The record is from RNAcentral.
GACGAAGGGGGCUAGCGUUGCUCGGAAUCACUGGGCGUAAAGGGUGCGUAGGCGGCUCUUUAAGUCAGGGGUGAAAUCCUGGAGCUCAACUCCAGAACUGCCUUUGAUACUGAAGAUCUUGAGUCCGGGAGAGGUGAGUGGAACUGCGAGUGUAGAGGUGAAAUUCGUAGAUAUUCGCAAGAACACCAGUGGCGAAGGCGGCUCACUGGCCCGGUACUGACGCUGAGGCACGAAAGCGUGGGGAGCAAACAGG